GGUAAUGCCGGAUGUUCCACAUGAUCGCAUGUGAUUGUGGGAAAGAUUUCAUCGGCGUGGGAUGGGGUCGCGUCCUAUCAGCUUGUUGGUGAGGUAACGGCUCACCAAGGCUUCGACGGGUAGCCGGCCUGAGAGGGCGACCGGCCACAUUGGGACUGAGAUACGGCCCAGACUCCUACGGGAGGCAGCAGUGGGGAAUAUUGCACAAUGGGCGCAAGCCUGAUGCAGCGACGCCGCGUGAGGGAUGGAGGCCUUCGGGUUGUAAACCUCUUUUGUUUGGGAGCAAGCCUUCGGGUGAGUGUACCUUUCGAAUAAGCGCCGGCUAACUACGUGCCAGCAGCCGCGGUAAUACGUAGGGCGCAAGCGUUAUCCGGAUUUAUUGGGCGUAAAGGGCUCGUAGGCGGCUCGUCGCGUCCGGUGUGAAAGUCCAUCGCUUAACGGUGGAUCUGCGCCGGGUACGGGCGGGCUGGAGUGCGGUAGGGGAGACUGGAAUUCCCGGUGUAACGGUGGAAUGUGUAGAUAUCGGGAAAGAACACCA
Molecule: ribosomal RNA, 538 nt
Filed under: Bifidobacterium bifidum
Lineage: Bacteria; Bacillati; Actinomycetota; Actinomycetes; Bifidobacteriales; Bifidobacteriaceae
Description: bacterial SSU rRNA
Rfam family: Bacterial small subunit ribosomal RNA
Source: RNAcentral